RNAcentral lists this small RNA (28 nucleotides) under Bombyx mori (domestic silkworm). RNAcentral describes it as "ovarian small RNA-19616". Lineage: Eukaryota; Metazoa; Arthropoda; Insecta; Lepidoptera; Bombycidae. The record is from RNAcentral.
UAAUAUGCAGCCUUUCCUUACGCCCUUC